Molecule: ribosomal RNA, 253 nt
Filed under: uncultured bacterium
Lineage: Bacteria
Description: partial 16S ribosomal RNA
Rfam family: Bacterial small subunit ribosomal RNA
Source: RNAcentral
GACGGAGGGGGCUAGCGUUGUCCGGAAUCAUUGGGCGUAAAGAGCGUGUAGGCGGCCCGGUAAGUCCGCUGUAAAAGUCAAAGGCUCAACCUUUGAAUGUCAGUGGAUACUGCCGGGCUAGAGUCCGGAAGAGGCGAGUGGAACUCCUGGUGUAGCGGUGGAAUGCGCAGAUAUCAGGAAGAACACCAACGGCGAAGGCAGCUCGCUGGGACGGUACUGACGCUGAGACGCGAAAGCGUGGGGAGCGAACAGG